CGUAGCGUUGCACCUUCUCGUAUGAGGACAACUAACGACUGUGUUAAGUGACAGGAGGGAAAAAGCAGCGUGGACAAGUUAAUGACAGACAAAGCUGCAGGCAAAAUUCCAGUGAUAUACAUGUUUCCUGGUAAAGAGAUGAAUUUCGCGCAAAGCUACUGCGCCUUGAACUGAUAGACUACAGGGAAGGAAGCUAGUCAACACCACCCACCGCCUACUCUUGAGCCACUUUUUACCAACGAAUAGUUAAAUUGACCAUCACGUUAAAACUCUCCCACGACUGAAAGGGCGAGCAUGUUGGAUGACAGGAUUCGAUCCCGCAACCUACAGAUUACGAGCUUAAAAAUCUCAUUCUACAUUCUAAGUGACAUUUGAAGUCGCAAAACCUGAUGAAUGUCAACCAAGUCAUAUGAUAAGAA
Limulus polyphemus (Atlantic horseshoe crab) is the source of this 419-nucleotide long non-coding RNA. RefSeq lists it as uncharacterized. The transcript has 3 exons. NCBI's taxonomy places the organism in Eukaryota, Metazoa, Arthropoda, Merostomata, Xiphosura, Limulidae. The record is from RefSeq and is a predicted model, not a curated record.